RNAcentral lists this ribosomal RNA (248 nucleotides) under uncultured Gardnerella sp. RNAcentral's name for it is "partial 16S ribosomal RNA". It matches the Rfam family "Bacterial small subunit ribosomal RNA", at positions 107 to 355 of the family's 1533-position model. Lineage: Bacteria; Bacillati; Actinomycetota; Actinomycetes; Bifidobacteriales; Bifidobacteriaceae. The record is from RNAcentral.
UAGAGUAAUGCGUGACCAACCUGCCCCAUGCUCCAGAAUAGCUCUUGGAAACGGGUGGUAAUGCUGGAUGCUCCAACUUGACGCAUGUCUUGUUGGGAAAGUGUUUAGUGGCAUGGGAUGGGGUCGCGUCCUAUCAGAUUGUAGGCGGGGUAAUGGCCCACCUAGGCUUCGACGGGUAGCCGGCCUGAGAGGGCGGACGGCCACAUUGGGACUGAGAUACGGCCCAGACUCCUACGGGAGGCAGCAGC